AUUGAACGCUGGCGGCAUGCCUUACACAUGCAAGUCGAGCGGAGAGAGGUAGCUUGCUACUGAUCUUAGCGGCGGACGGGUGAGUAAUGCUUAGGAAUCUGCCUAUUAGUGGGGGACAACAUUUCGAAAGGAAUGCUAAUACCGCAUACGUCCUACGGGAGAAAGCAGGGGAUCUUCGGACCUUGCGCUAAUAGAUGAGCCUAAGUCGGAUUAGCUAGUUGGUGGGGUAAAGGCCUACCAAGGCGACGAGCUGUAGCGGGUCUGAGAGGAUGCGCCGCAACACUGGGACUGGGACACGGCCCAGACGCCUACGGGAGGCAGCAGUGGGGAAUAUUGGACAAUGGGCGGAAGCCUGAUCCAGCCAUGCCGCGUGUGUGAAGAAGGCCUUAUGGUUGUAAAGCACUUUAAGCGAGGAGGAGGCUACUUUAGUUAAUACCUAGAGAUAGUGGACGUUACUCGCAGAAUAAGCACCGGCUAACUCUGUGCCAUCAGCCGCAGUAA
RNAcentral lists this ribosomal RNA (501 nucleotides) under uncultured bacterium. RNAcentral's name for it is "partial 16S ribosomal RNA". It matches the Rfam family "Bacterial small subunit ribosomal RNA", at positions 30 to 523 of the family's 1533-position model. The record is from RNAcentral.